CAGCCGCCGCGGGAAUACGAAGGGGGCUAGCGUUGCUCGGAAUGACUGGGCGUAAAGGGCGCGUAGGCGGCGGCCAAAGUCAGGCGUGAAAUUCCCGGGCUCAACCUGGGGGCUGCGUUUGAUACUUGGUUGCUUGAGUGGGGAAGAGGGUCGUGGAAUUCCCAGUGUAGAGGUGAAAUUCGUAGAUAUUGGGAAGAACACCGGUGGCGAAGGCGGCGACCUGGUCCUUUACUGACGCUGAGGCGCGAAAGCGUGGGGAGCAAACAGGAUUAGAUACCCGGGUAGUCCCUGUCUCUUAUAC
Molecule: ribosomal RNA, 301 nt
Filed under: uncultured bacterium
Lineage: Bacteria
Description: partial 16S ribosomal RNA
Rfam family: Bacterial small subunit ribosomal RNA
Source: RNAcentral